CGGGCAGGGAGGGCCCGCCAGGACUCGCAGCUCGCUGGGCAGACUCAGACUUGCUGCCGCCCUACCUUUCUGCUGGCUCUGGGACACGCCAGGCCAGCAAUGGCCAAGCAACAGCCAAAAGAAUCUGGGCCUGCCCCCUGGUGACUUCUCAUCAGCAACUUGUCACAGCAUCAGUCCCCUGACUGUGUCCCUGGCUCUGUGCUGGAAACUGGGGAGACGACGCUUGCCCAAGGCUGCAAUGCAGGACCAGGACCGAAACCUGCCGACCCCCCACCCAGUGCUCUUUCUCUGGGAAAAGGAACCACAGAACAAACCUUGGGAGGGGCCAGCACAGGAAACAGGCACACAGUCACGGCCAGGCACCCCGCCUUAGGCCUACUACCCCCAGCCCUCGAGAGAGGAACCUCCUGCAGCACCUCAGGGGGACCGGCCACCUGUCAGGGCUCUGACCCCUGGGAAGUUGGAACUUGGAGCCUCAGGUCGGUCCCGAAGCCCGGUCUAUGCUGUCAUCUUGUGGCCACUUCGGGAAGUGCGCCUGUCCGGCUCUAAAUUGGAAAUAACACGGAUUGAGCAAAACUGAACAUUAUUCUGGGAACUCAUGGGAUGUAGAAGGGAACAUAGCCCAGCCGGUGCCCUGAAGAAGCCCACAGUGUGGCAGAGGAGCCUCCAAAUGGCAUGUCCACAACUGAACUCAGCGCCGGAUACCCACCAGAACAGGUCAUGGAAAAGUUUCCAAAAGAUGGUCUCUCCCAUGCUUUAGAGGAGGCGUCUGGAGAGGCAGCGGGCAGCAGGUAGGAUUUGACGGGAGGGAGUGUGCAGGAGGCACUCCAGGGAGAGGCACCGGCCUGAGCAAAGUCACGGAGACAGGGAAACAGCAGUUCUAAGGAUUCCAGUUUGUCCCAAGCCUAGGUCGGAUAUGGAGAGGAGGAAAUGAUCAUUUGGGAGCCAAAUGGGCCAGUCUUUGGCUGGUGGCCUAGGGAGUUUGUACUAAGAAUUUUAGGCUGGGGAACCAACAAAGGUCCUAGGGCAAGGAUGAAGCUUGAGCAGGGGUCUCUUUAAGGAAAAAAAAAAAUACUAGCUGCAGGGGACAGGAGUGAACAGGGCAAAUGGAAGAAGUUUCAGGGCAACAGAGAGGGUGCUGGGAAAGGGGUAGGGAGGACUUCAGGGCUAAAGAGGGUACUACUGACAGCUAGACAAGCCAGGGCCAAGCAGGAGAGGUGAGGAAUUGGCUUGGAGUUGCUGUCAGGAAUUCCAGUGAAGCUACACCUGCCUGGUUCAGUCAGUAAAGCAUUCAAUGGUUGACUCAGGGUUGUGAGUUCAAGCCCCACAUUGGGUGUAGAGAUCACUUAAAAAUAAAAUCUCAAAAAAAAAAUGGAGUCCCA
Molecule: long non-coding RNA, 1382 nt
Filed under: Vulpes vulpes (red fox)
Lineage: Eukaryota; Metazoa; Chordata; Mammalia; Carnivora; Canidae
Description: lncRNA (ENSVVUG00000018991.1)
Source: RNAcentral